RNAcentral lists this ribosomal RNA (1252 nucleotides) under metagenome. Its description in RNAcentral is "bacterial LSU rRNA". It matches the Rfam family "Bacterial large subunit ribosomal RNA", at positions 1635 to 2876 of the family's 2925-position model. The record is from RNAcentral.
UACACGACCGUACCGCAAACCGACACUGGUGCGCGAGAUGAGUAUUCUAAGGCGCUUGAGAGAACUCAGGAGAAGGAACUCGGCAAAUUGACACCGUAACUUCGGAAGAAGGUGUGCCUUUAGUAGGUGAACCAUUUACUUGGGGAGCCCAAUGAGGCUGCAAAAAAUCGGUGGCUGCAACUGUUUAUUAAAAACACAGCACUCUGCUAAGACGAAAGUCGACGUAUAGGGUGUGACGCCUGCCCGGUGCUGGAAGAUUAAAUGAUGGGGUGCAAGCUCUUGAUUGAAGUCCCAGUAAACGGCGGCCGUAACUAUAACGGUCCUAAGGUAGCGAAAUUCCUUGUCGGGUAAGUUCCGACCUGCACGAAUGGCGUAAUGAUGGCCACACUGUCUCCUCCUGAGACUCAGCGAAGUUGAAAUGUUUGUGAUGAUGCAAUCUCCCCGCGGAAAGACGGAAAGACCCCAUGAACCUUUACUGUAGCUUUGUAUUGGACUUUGAACAGAUCUGUGUAGGAUAGGUGGGAGGCUUUGAAGUGUGGUCGCUAGAUCGCAUGGAGCCAACGUUGAAAUACCACCCUGGUGUGUUUGAGGUUCUAACCUAGGUCCAUUAUCUGGAUCGGGGACAGUGCAUGGUAGGCAGUUUGACUGGGGCGGUCUCCUCCCAAAGUGUAACGGAGGAGUUCGAAGGUACGCUAGGUACGGUCGGACAUCGUGCUAAUAGUGCAAUGGCAUAAGCGUGCUUAACUGCGAGACUGACAAGUCGAGCAGAUGCGAAAGCAGGACAUAGUGAUCCGGUGGUUCUGUAUGGAAGGGCCAUCGCUCAACGGAUAAAAGGUACUCUGGGGAUAACAGGCUGAUACCGCCCAAGAGUUCAUAUCGACGGCGGUGUUUGGCACCUCGAUGUCGGCUCAUCUCAUCCUGGGGCUGUAGCCGGUCCCAAGGGUAUGGCUGUUCGCCAUUUAAAGAGGUACGUGAGCUGGGUUUAAAACGUCGUGAGACAGUUUGGUCCCUAUCUUCCGUGGGCGCUGCAGAUUUGAGGAAGCCUGCUCCUAGUACGAGAGGACCGGAGUGGACGAACCUCUGGUGUAUCGGUUGUCACGCCAGUGGCAUUGCCGAGUAGCUAAGUUCGGAAGAGAUAACCGCUGAAAGCAUCUAAGCGGGAAACUCGUUUCAAGAUUAGAUCUGCCGGGGCCUUGAGCCCCCUAAAGAGUCGUUCAAGACCAGGACGUUGAUAGGUCAGGUGUGGAAACAA